GACGAACGCUGGCGGCGUGCCUAAUACAUGCAAGUCGAACGAGAGCGACCGGUGCUUGCACUGGUCAAUCUAGUGGCGAACGGGUGAGUAACACGUGGGUAACCUGCCCAUCAGAGGGGGAUAACAUCCGGAAACGGAUGCUAAAACCGCAUAGGUCUUCGAACCGCAUGGUUUGAAGAGGAAAAGAGGCGCAAGCUUCUGCUGAUGGAUGGACCCGCGGUGCAUUAGCUAGUUGGUGAGGUAACGGCUCACCAAGGCCGUGAUGCAUAGCCGACCUGAGAGGGUGAUCGGCCACAUUGGGACUGAGACACGGCCCAAACUCCUACGGGAGGCAGCAGUAGGGAAUCUUCCGCAAUGGACGUAAGUCUGACGGAGCAACGCCGCGUGAGUGAAGAAGGUUUUCGGAUCGUAAAACUCUGUUGUUAGAGAAGAACAAGUGCUAGAGUAACUGUUAGCGCCUUGACGGUAUCUAACCAGAAAGCCACGGCUAACUACGUG
Molecule: ribosomal RNA, 498 nt
Filed under: uncultured bacterium
Lineage: Bacteria
Description: partial 16S ribosomal RNA
Rfam family: Bacterial small subunit ribosomal RNA
Source: RNAcentral